UGUCAAAAUUUUUAUUUAUUUGUAUUGUUAAAAAUGAGUGUAGUUGACGAAAUAAUUAGACAGUGACAUAUGGUGGGCCACGCGUAUUUCAUGCUGAUGUAUAAAGAUCAGUUUUUAACCGUAGAAAUUGAUGAAAUUUUUAACA
Non-coding RNA from Gossypium raimondii (Peruvian cotton), 145 nucleotides. The record is from Rfam. NCBI's taxonomy places the organism in Eukaryota, Viridiplantae, Streptophyta, Magnoliopsida, Malvales, Malvaceae.